CCUACGGGAGGCAGCAGUGGGGAAUAUUGGACAAUGGGGGGAACCCUGAUCCAGCGACGCCGCGUGAGUGAAGAAGUAUUUCGGUAUGUAAAGCUCUAUCAGCAGGGAAGAAAGAAAUGACGGUACCUGACUAAGAAGCCCCGGCUAACUAAGUGCCAGCAGCCGCGGGAAUACGUAGGGGGCAAGCGUUAUCCGGAUUUACUGGGUGUAAAGGGAGCGUAGACGGCGAUGCAAGUCUGAAGUGAAAGGCGGGGGCCCAACCCCCGGACUGCUUUGGAAACUGUAUGGCUGGAGUGCAGGAGAGGUAAGUGGAAUUCCUAGUGUAGCGGUGAAAUGCGUAGAUAUUAGGAGGAACACCAGUGGCGAAGGCGGCUUACUGGACUGUAACUGACGUGGAGGCUCGAAAGCGUGGGGAGCAAACAGGAUUAGAUACCCUGGUAGUC
RNAcentral lists this ribosomal RNA (443 nucleotides) under uncultured bacterium. RNAcentral's name for it is "partial 16S ribosomal RNA". It matches the Rfam family "Bacterial small subunit ribosomal RNA", at positions 338 to 795 of the family's 1533-position model. The record is from RNAcentral.